Molecule: transfer RNA, 71 nt
Filed under: Caudoviricetes sp.
Lineage: Duplodnaviria; Heunggongvirae; Uroviricota; Caudoviricetes
Description: tRNA-OTHER
Rfam family: tRNA
About the family: Transfer RNA (tRNA) molecules are approximately 80 nucleotides in length. Their secondary structure includes four short double-helical elements and three loops (D, anti-codon, and T loops). Further hydrogen bonds mediate the characteristic L-shaped molecular structure. tRNAs have two regions of fundamental functional importance: the anti-codon, which is responsible for specific mRNA codon recognition, and the 3' end, to which the tRNAs corresponding amino acid is attached (by aminoacyl-tRNA synthetases). tRNAs cope with the degeneracy of the genetic code in two manners: having more than one tRNA (with a specific anti-codon) for a particular amino acid; and 'wobble' base-pairing, i.e. permitting non-standard base-pairing at the 3rd anti-codon position.
Source: RNAcentral
GAAUAGGUAGCUCAGGUGGUAGAGCAGCAGAUUUAUUCUGCGGGCCAUGGGUUCAAGUCCCAUUCUAUUCU